UCCAUUACAGCAUAAUGUAAACAUUUAUAGUAGAGCUAGUCUAAAGUUUGUUCACCAACCUUCCAUAAGUCAAGGAAGGUUGUUCACCAAACCUACCUAAAAGCAAGGUAGUUCAACUACUUCUUGACUACAACAAAAUCUAAAUGACUUUAACAAAUACCUCCAAAAACUAUCAACAACACUUGCAUCAAUUUCUUCAAUGGAGCUGUAGCUGUAACUUUAACACUCCUCCUUGAUGCA
This 240-nucleotide long non-coding RNA is filed under the name Jatropha curcas. RNAcentral's name for it is "long non-coding RNA (JCUR_LNC002327)". The record is from RNAcentral. Lineage: Eukaryota; Viridiplantae; Streptophyta; Magnoliopsida; Malpighiales; Euphorbiaceae.